GUUACUGCAAUGAAUGAAGAAGACGCUGCAGGGGGCCGCGAUCACUCUGAAGCCGCCUCGCCGCCAUCUUGGAAGCCUCCCAUCAUCCCCCACGCUACCCCCUGCCUGGCCUAGAGCAAAGUUCCCUUCGCAGGUGACUGGGGCCGGCGUCCCCGCGGGGGGGGGAAGUGGAAAAUGAAAGAGCGACAGCCUCACGCACCAAUCAGAAAGGAGUUCCGCCCGCUGCCCAAACCAGCUAGCGAAGCAGCAGGCUUUGGGGCGGUGUCACCGUUCAGACAAACACAAGCUUGGUUGAGGAAACACAAAUUCAUCCAGACGCUCGCUUCACCGCGCUCCGCCUCCUCUCGGGAAGAUGGCUGUCAGGUCCUAGUGCCCCUUGGGUCGCUGUCAAGCCCCGGCCGGUCUGCCAGCUUCCGCCUGUCGAAUGGUGGGGGCGCCUCAUGGCCUGCGGCGCUCCACGCCCAGCAGGCUCCAGCGGGAUGCAGAAGGGUCGGGCUCACGUAGAGCAGGUCCAUAGGGCAGCAGGCCCUAGCUCCGUGGGGACAGGGCACGCAGAGCAACCUCCAGGUCUGUCCACUCCCAGCUCUUGGGCUCCAGUUGCUACUUGGGCUCCGGUCCCGAGGCUUUGUCCGUUAACGCUCACCAACAGCUGUGAAGUUAAUGCAUAUUAAACCCUGGGUCUGGCUAGCCCACUACAAAAGCAGUUUCUCCUCCGUUGGUGUUCACACCUCAACUGCUAGAAGAGGGCCUCAUCCUGGCUGAUUGAACUAACCUCCUUAUCCCUUGCCUCAUUCUUGCUUGCAUAUUUAUACCUGCCUCUGGAAAUUUCCACUACAUGCAUCCGAUGAAGUGGGUAUUCACCCACGAAAGCUCAGGCGCCAAUAUGUCUGGUAAUCUAUAAGGUGCAGCUUUUAUAGAUCCCGACUAACACGGCUACCCCUCUGAUAUUAAACCCUGGUGUGGCGUGUGGACACUCCCAUUCAGAAGUGAAGUGGACUUCAUUCACAUUAACUUAAGGGAUUCAGAUAAAGCAAACUAAGGUCUGGUCUACAUCUAAAAUUUAGGUUAACUUAGUGAUGUUGCUCAGGGCUGUGAACAGUUUUGUGCUCUGAACUUUUUAGUUAGAUCAACCCAACCCCUGGUCUAGACACAUCUAGGACAGUGGAAGGAUUCUUCCAUCAACCAAGCUCUGCCAUCUCUUGCAGAAGUGAAUUAUCUACGUGAGUGGUUCUUAAAAAAAAAAAUUUACAUGGAUCGAGGAAGCAUAUACGCUACAGCACUGUAGUGGCAUACCUGUGCUGCUGUAGUGCAGACAUAUCCUAAGAUUGAAUUGAAUGACAGUAUCCCUGGAGGUUUAAUGUUCUUCAGAAACUUCAGAUCAUCUUUAAGGUCCUGAGUAUCCCUCCAUUAACAAGCCCUAAUGCAGCUAAACUGGUUCCACCCUUGCAAGGUAUGACGAACUGUUUUUAAACUGUUUUAGUUAAAUUGGGACAACAUACAUUCACCCAAGGCCUAAGGUAUAGACAUCUCACAGGGUAUAUCUGCACCGUAAGCACUACAGUGGCAUAACUGCAGCUACUUCGCUGUAGCACUGUAAUGUAGACACUUGCUAAAGCACUGGAAGGGGGUUUUCUGUUACUGCGGUAAAUCCACCCCCAGGGAAGGCAGGAGUUAAGUUGAUAGAAUAAUUCUUCCAUUGAGCUAGUGGUAUCAAUAACAGAUCUUAGGACAGCUUAACUGGGUCUCUGAGGGGUGUGAGUGACGUAGCUAGGUUGACCUAAGUUUUAAGAACAGACCAGGAGAUGGAGAUAAGGGAUAGCAGUAUAAGCGGAGCUCUGUGCUCUAUCUUCCCCUUUAAAGGAAAAUAUCCAUGAAGUAAAACAUUCUACAUCCCUAAAAAUCCUUUCACUUUUUUCAGAUUCACUUUUCAUCAAUCCUUUCAUUCGCUUCCUGCUUGAAAGCAGGAGCUGGGCACACUCUACUGAUUAUGGUGGACCAGACAAGCUGAGCUCAGACAUUGCCAUAGAGGAGAAAGCAGCUGUUCCUGUGGGACUACACCCACCAAAUGCAAUCAUGUCAGUCCUUUGUCUCCUCCUCUAAGGGUUCAGGUAGCUGGAGGAGAGGACCAGACUGUGCUUAACACUUACAGAAACUGAGUGGGGAGAAAGGGAGGCUUGACUUCUCUUUGACCACAGAGACAACAAUCAUUUGAUCUCAGAAAGACACUUCUGAAAAGCAGUUUUUCUUUGGAAUCAACAGGCACAGAUACUUUUUUAGUUACACCACAAGGUCCAAAUUCUGCAGGAGUGCCUGAGCACAGGUCCCACUGAAGUCAAUGGAAGCCUUGCAUGCAUCUUGCCUUGUUUUCCCAACUUAGGGUAACAAACCUUGUGGAUGGGGGCAGGGAGAAGCAGUCGAUACCGUCUCCCAUGACCUUCUCAGAAACAAACUAGGGAAAUGCAACCUAGAUGGAGCUACUAUAAGGAACGAAGAGUGUAAGUCACCUUUUCCCCGUGUUCAAGGAGUUGCAAACACAAGUAGAGAUCUCACAGUACUCACCUCUCCAAAUCCUCCUUUGCCUAGUACUCGAGCCCUGUUUGUUUCUGUUUCUUCCCUCUUUUCCUAUAUAACUUCCAUGACCACCAGACUACCCAAUGCCUUUCCUUCAGCUGAGUGGAUGAAAGGAUUAGAAUACAAACUGAAUACCAAAGGAAAGCUGCUGCCAUUGCGGCCUUGAGGAGUUUCCCCUCCACACCUGUGGAAUGCCUGAAGAAGAGAACGAUUUGGGAUGACUUAGUCGGCAAGAUUCUGCAAGUCAGUGAUGCAUCAGACCAUGACCAGAGCGCCUGGAGGAUGAAUACUGUAUGGAGGAGGAAAGGAGGAAAGAGUGGACAGGAGUACCAGCAGAAAAAUGAGAGGGAGAUGCAACAAGACAUAAUGGGCUUCUUUGGCAGAAAACACAGAUGCUGCAGAUCCUUGUGGAUUUACAGGUUCAGCAAUCAUGGACUAGCAUUCCUUUGCAGUCCAUGGAGAACUCCAGUAUAGCACCUCACUACACCCCACCUCAACCUUCCAUGUGGGAUCAGGCGCUACAUUCCUACCCCUACCACUACACUCAGGGGAGCACUAAGGACAAUCACAGCUUUACAUAUACUGACCUGUGAGAGCCACAGUUUAUGUAUGUGUAGCUAAAAUGGAUAUGAAUGUUCCUUCCCCUUCUUUAACUUCAGUUCCAUACAUUUAUGAAGGUUCUAAAGUAUCUGCUUUUAACUUGCACCGAAUUUUUUUUUAAGUGUUUAUGUUACUCAAUGAAAUUCUAUUGUUUGGGAAAUAAUUCAUGGUAUUAGUUCUCAACAUAUGCUGCAGAAUGCUUAGCAGUAGCGAAUCCACUUACUUUCUUGCUACUGUACAAUGUGAGAACUCAUAGGAUCAGUGACAGAACCAUGUAAUAAUCAUAAAUGUACACCAAGCACCACAAAAUUAAUAGGUGCAUUGUCAAUGUCAUAUGCUUAGAUGUACUUCAAGCACCACACAAUUCAUAACAGGCCCCCAAACAGCAGGGCCACAUA
Caretta caretta (loggerhead turtle) is the source of this 3569-nucleotide long non-coding RNA. RefSeq lists it as uncharacterized. Lineage: Eukaryota; Metazoa; Chordata; Testudines; Cheloniidae. The record is from RefSeq and is a predicted model, not a curated record.